RNAcentral lists this ribosomal RNA (253 nucleotides) under uncultured bacterium. RNAcentral's name for it is "partial 16S ribosomal RNA". It matches the Rfam family "Bacterial small subunit ribosomal RNA", at positions 524 to 776 of the family's 1533-position model. The record is from RNAcentral.
UACGGAGGGGGCUAGCGUUGUUCGGAAUUACUGGGCGUAAAGCGCACGUAGGCGGCUUUGUAAGUCAGGGGUGAAAGCCUGGAGCUCAACUCCAGAACCGCCUUUGAGACUGCAUCGCUUGAAUCCGGGAGAGGUGAGUGGAAUUCCGAGUGUAGAGGUGAAAUUCGUAGAUAUUCGGAAGAACACCAGUGGCGAAGGCGGCUCACUGGACCGGUAUUGACGCUGAGGUGCGAAAGCGUGGGGAGCAAACAGG